This 1170-nucleotide long non-coding RNA is filed under the name Citrus x clementina. Its description in RNAcentral is "Citrus clementina (C. clementina) long non-coding RNA (CCLE_LNC003104)". Lineage: Eukaryota; Viridiplantae; Streptophyta; Magnoliopsida; Sapindales; Rutaceae. The record is from RNAcentral.
UUAGUCAUUAUUUUUAUUUCUUUAUUUCAAACUUUAAUAAAUAUAGCAUGAUGUUUUUUUUUGUUUUUUUCGGGUCGAAGUAAAACUACAUGGUUUUUCUUUUGGAAUCAAAUGAGUGUUAUUAAAAUUAGCAUAAUCUAUGUAUAUAUUUAAUGAGAUACUUUUAGAAGAAGAGUUAUAAAAGAAUUUUAAACGAGUGCCAAUAGUUAAAAACACUUGGCAAAAUAUGGGUGGUUUGGAGUUUGGGCUAAAAUUAAACUCAUUGGGCCUUUUCACUUCGGGUUGUAUUUCGUAAAUAGAAGCGGAACGAGAGGUUCCGACGAAAUUGAACCUCUAAAAUGGCGUAUCGCUGCUGAUAAUCACCAAACAAAACAAACAAUCAAAACUCAUUAUUUUAAACCAAAAAAUGAUUAAAAAAAAAACUGGCAAGACACUUAAUAUAAAUUGUCAGUUAACAAUUAAUGCAAUAGAUUAGAUUCUCAGCAAUGCCAAUCAAAGAUUAACAAAAGGAUCAAUAGUACGAGAGAGUUUGCGAAACAGAAGAAACGCAGCAAUAAAAGGAGGAUUGUGGUAGCACACGCAUGUCCAAGACUAGUAUGGAUUAAAUUUCUAUGCCUGCUGGAUUUUAAACUUGUCAUGCACUUUCUACGUAUUGCUUCAGCUCAUUAGCUCUGGUCAAGGCGAUAAAUAUAUUAGUUCGGACGAGUUUGGUACAAGUGGUUUACACUUUACAUAUCACCACUCUAGAAAAGAGAUAAAGAGUUUCUUUGUUAUUUUGUUGAAUUCUUAUUGCGUGUAUAUUUUGCUCUUAACAUAAUUGGUAAUAACCCAAGAAGCGAAAGUUUAUACUCCGAAAAUAGCUAAACUUUUCUUCUCUACAUGGUACAUCACAUCUUUCUUGGACCACAUGUUCAUGUGUAGUCAAAAUUGAACAAAUAUGAACACUAUCACAAUUAGUACCGAGAUUUAUUUUGAGGACAACAAAACUACUUGGCAGAUAUUUUACAUGACACAAGGCUUGUUAUUGUUGCUCUUCGGGCUAUAGAACAGUUUAAAUAUAAAAACUCUCACACUUCUACGCAUUUUUCAAGCCCGGAUCCAAACCCACUUUAAGGGUCGAGUCUAUUGCGGGCCUGGGCUGCUUUUAUUUAUUUCUUAAAAUUAUUAUAA